Molecule: ribosomal RNA, 484 nt
Filed under: uncultured bacterium
Lineage: Bacteria
Description: partial 16S ribosomal RNA
Rfam family: Bacterial small subunit ribosomal RNA
Source: RNAcentral
AUUGAACGCUGGCGGCAUGCUUUACACAUGCAAGUCGAACGGCAGCGCGGGCUUCGGCCUGGCGGCGAGUGGCGAACGGGUGAGUAAUGCAUCGGAACGUGCCCAGUAGUGGGGGAUAGCCCGGCGAAAGCCGGAUUAAUACCGCAUACGACCUGAGGGUGAAAGCGGGGGAGCGAAAGGCCUCGCGCGAUUGGAGCGGCCGAUGUCGGAUUACCUAGUUGGUGGGGGAAAGGCUUACCAAGGCGACGAUCCGUAGCGGGUCUGAGAGGACGACCAGCCACACUGGGACUGAGACACGGCCCAGACUCCUACGGGAGGCCGCAGUGGGGAAUUUUGGACAAUGGGGGCAACCCUGCUCCAGCCAUGCCGCGUGCGGGCAGAAGGCCUUCGGGUUGUAAACCGCUUUUGUUCGGGAAGACCGCCUCUGGGCUAAUACCCCGGGGGGAUGACGGUACCGGAAGAAUAAGCACCGGCUAACUACGUG